Molecule: ribosomal RNA, 737 nt
Filed under: uncultured Fusobacterium sp.
Lineage: Bacteria; Fusobacteriati; Fusobacteriota; Fusobacteriia; Fusobacteriales; Fusobacteriaceae
Description: bacterial SSU rRNA
Rfam family: Bacterial small subunit ribosomal RNA
Source: RNAcentral
GAUGAACGCUGACAGAAUGCUUAACACAUGCAAGUCUACUUGAAUUUGGGUUUUUAACUUAGGUUUGGGUGGCGGACGGGUGAGUAACGCGUAAAGAACUUGCCUCACAGCUAGGGACAACAUUUAGAAAUGAAUGCUAAUACCUAAUAUUAUGAUAAUAGGGCAUCCUAUAAUUAUGAAAGCUAUAUGCGCUGUGAGAGAGCUUUGCGUCCCAUUAGCUAGUUGGAGAGGUAACGGCUCACCGAGGCGAUGAUGGGUAGCCGGCCUGAGAGGGUGAUCGGCCACAAGGGGACUGAGACACGGCCCUUACUCCUACGGGAGGCAGCAGUGGGGAAUAUUGGACAAUGGACCGAGAGUCUGAUCCAGCAAUUCUGUGUGCACGAUGAAGUUUUUCGGAAUGUAAAGUGCUUUCAGUUGGGAAGAAAGAAAUGACGGUACCAACAGAAGAAGUGACGGCUAAAUACGUGCCAGCAGCCGCGGUAAUACGUAUGUCACGAGCGUUAUCCGGAUUUAUUGGGCGUAAAGCGCGUCUAGGUGGUUAUAUAAGUCUGAUGUGAAAAUGCAGGGCUCAACUCUGUAUUGCGUUGGAAACUGUAUAACUAGAGUACUGGAGAGGUAAGCGGAACUACAAGUGUAGAGGUGAAAUUCGUAGAUAUUUGUAGGAAUGCCGAUGGGGAAGCCAGCUUACUGGACAGAUACUGACGCUGAAAGCGCGAAAGCGUGGGGUAGCAAACAGG